This 370-nucleotide ribosomal RNA is filed under the name uncultured organism. RNAcentral's name for it is "partial 16S ribosomal RNA". It matches the Rfam family "Bacterial small subunit ribosomal RNA", at positions 527 to 896 of the family's 1533-position model. The record is from RNAcentral.
GUAGGUGGCAAGCGUUGUCCGGAAUUAUUGGGCGUAAAGCGCGCGCAGGCGGUCCUUUAAGUCUGAUGUGAAAGCCCACGGCUCAACCGUGGAGGGUCAUUGGAAACUGGGGGACUUGAGUGCAGAAGAGAAGAGUGGAAUUCCACGUGUAGCGGUGAAAUGCGUAGAGAUGUGGAGGAACACCGGUGGCGAAGGCGACUCUUUGGUCUGUAACUGACGCUGAGGCGCGAAAGCGUGGGGAGCAAACAGGAUUAGAUACCCUGGUAGUCCACGCCGUAAACGAUGAGUGCUAAGUGUUAGAGGGUUUCCGCCCUUUAGUGCUGCAGCAAACGCAUUAAGCACUCCGCCUGGGAGUACGGCCGCAAGGCUG